Molecule: transfer RNA, 72 nt
Filed under: Pseudomonas phage VCM
Lineage: Duplodnaviria; Heunggongvirae; Uroviricota; Caudoviricetes; Vandenendeviridae
Rfam family: tRNA
About the family: Transfer RNA (tRNA) molecules are approximately 80 nucleotides in length. Their secondary structure includes four short double-helical elements and three loops (D, anti-codon, and T loops).
Source: Rfam by way of RNAcentral
GCCCUUAUCGUAUAAUGACCAUUACACCUGUUUUGUAAUCAGGAUAUCGCAGUUUGAUUCUGUGUUGGGGCA